RNAcentral lists this small RNA (27 nucleotides) under Bombyx mori (domestic silkworm). RNAcentral describes it as "ovarian small RNA-17933". The record is from RNAcentral. Lineage: Eukaryota; Metazoa; Arthropoda; Insecta; Lepidoptera; Bombycidae.
GUGGUCAAAGCAUAUGUGUAUUUUAUA